CGUUUGACCUCGGAUCAGGUAGGGAUACCCGCUGAACUUAAGCAUAUCAAUAAGCGGAGGAAAAGAAACCAACAGGGAUUGCCCUAGUAACGGCGAGUGAAGCGGCAACAGCUCAAAUUUGAAAUCUGGCUCUUUCAGAGUCCGAGUUGUAAUUUGCAGAGGGCGCUUUGGCUUUGGCAGCGGUCCAAGUUCCUUGGAACAGGACGUCACAGAGGGUGAGAAUCCCGUACGUGGUCGCUAGCUAUUGCCGUGUAAAGCCCCUUCGACGAGUCGAGUUGUUUGGGAAUGCAGCUCUAAAUGGGAGGUAAAUUUCUUCUAAAGCUAAAUAUUGGCCAGAGACCGAUAGCGCACAAGUAGAGUGAUCGAAAGAUGAAAAGCACUUUGGAAAGAGAGUCAAACAGCACGUGAAAUUGUUGAAAGGGAAGCGCUUGCAGCCAGACUUGCUUGCAGUUGCUCAUCCGGGCUUUUGCCCGGUGCACUCUUCUGCAGGCAGGCCAGCAUCAGUUUGGGCGGUGGGAUAAAGGUCUCUGUCACGUACCUUCCUUCGGGUUGGCCUUAUAGGGGAGACGCCAUACCACCAGCCUGGACUGAGGUCCGCGCAUCUGCUAGGAUGCUGGCGUAAUGGCUGUAAGCGGCCCGUCUUGAAACACGGACCAAGGAGUCUAACAUCUAUGCGAGUGUUUGGGUGUCAAGCCCGAGCGCGUAAUGAAAGUGAACGGAGGUGGGAACCCGCAAGGGUGCACCAUCGACCGAUCCUGAAGUUUACGGAAGGAUUUGAGUAAGAGCAUGGCUGUUGGGACCCGAAAGAUGGUGAACUAUGCUUGAAUAGGGUGAAGCCAGAGGAAACUCUGGUGGAGGCUCGCAGCGGUUCUGACGUGCAAAUCGAUCGUCAAAUUUGGGCAUAGGGGCGAAAGACUAAUCGAACUAUCUAGUAGCUGGUUCCUGCCGAAGUUUCCCUCAGGAUAGCAGUAACGUAUUCAGUUUUAUGAGGUAAGCGAAUGAUUAGAGGCAUGGGGGUUGAAACA
Molecule: ribosomal RNA, 1025 nt
Filed under: uncultured Ascomycota
Lineage: Eukaryota; Fungi; Ascomycota
Description: eukaryotic LSU rRNA
Rfam family: Eukaryotic large subunit ribosomal RNA
Source: RNAcentral